RNAcentral lists this ribosomal RNA (321 nucleotides) under uncultured bacterium. RNAcentral's name for it is "bacterial SSU rRNA". It matches the Rfam family "Bacterial small subunit ribosomal RNA", at positions 30 to 355 of the family's 1533-position model. The record is from RNAcentral.
AUUGAACGCUGGCGGCGUGCCUAACACAUGCAAGUCGAGCGGCAACAGGUGUAGCAAUACAUGCUGACGAGCGGCGGACGGGUGAGUAACGCUUGGGAAUCUGCCUGUUAGUGGGGGACAACCCGGGGAAACUCGGGCUAAUACCGCAUACGCACUACGGUGGAAAGCCGGGGACCGCAAGGCCUGGCGCUAACAGAUGAGCCCAAGUCGGAUUAGCUAGUGUAGGUAACGCCUACAAGGCGACGAUCCGUAACUGGUCUGAGAGGACGACCAGUCACACCGGAACUGAGACACGGUCCGGACUCCUACGGGAGCAGCAGU